CCUUAUAUAUAUAUAUAUAUAUAUAUAUAGGGUACCAGAAUUUUAUAGCUUGACUGUAUACUCGAUAGAACAAUAAAUGUAUUCUUUUAAGAUAAUUAGGGUAGCUUCAAAAAUGUACGACUAAUUGAUUUAUCUUGUUGCCUUAUUAAAGGACAAUAUUGAUAGCUUGAAGAAUCCACACAUUCUUUGUGGAGUAUAUAGAUGAACAUUUUGUAAGUGAUCCCGUUCAACAAAUUUAGGACUUGAGGAACACAUGAAUCAAUUCGACCAUUUACUUAGAAUUGAUGCAUAAAUUAUUUAUAUUAAAGGUUCUCCAGUUUCAAUAUAUUUGACAAAAAAAUGUCAUGGACUUUUUGCAUUUCUAAUCCUUAUCACAGUUUAUGGACUCCUACUUAUGUAAUUUCUUAUUUAUCCUUCACAUUUCAAAACAGUGAUUCUUAGGAAAAUUGUUGAAGAAAUUGAAGGCCAGUCAAGUACAGAACAUUUUCCCUCCUGUCAGCGAGUAUUCAAGUCCUCAGAAAUUGAUUGAUAAACAGCCUUGCUUAAUUAUUCGCAAAUUACUCCAUUAUUAAAGAACUUAUGAAUUCCAUGAUCUUACUCAGGCUGUGACAUAUGGUACGAACCUUCUACACAGCGACAUCAGUCCCCUCAGACAAAUGCCUCGUGUGUGCUUCAGAGAAUCUGGCAAGCCAGCGGCUGCCAAGCUCCGGCAAGCUUCUUCCAGCAUUACGAUAAUACAUCGCACUGCCGGCUCCGCACGCCUUCCCUUGGGCCUUAAUCUCAGAUUCGUCAUCUAAAGUCGUCAUCACCGGGAUCCCCUCACCUAAACCCUAAACCCUAAACACACGGCUCCCACCGCGCCGCUUCACCCUCACAUCCAACCCUCUGCUCCUCCACCCGCACCCAAUAGCAUCAUAGAGAUUCCCAUAGAAUACGUCAUCACAUCCCCGAAGGGCUUCUAAGAUGUCCCUAUUCUUUUUUCUCAUCAUCUGCUCC
Molecule: long non-coding RNA, 996 nt
Filed under: Physcomitrium patens
Lineage: Eukaryota; Viridiplantae; Streptophyta; Bryopsida; Funariales; Funariaceae
Description: long non-coding RNA (PPAT_LNC010571)
Source: RNAcentral